CACGUAGGGUGCGAGCGUUGUCCGGAAUUAUUGGGCGUAAAGAGCUCGUAGGCGGUGUGUCGCGUCGGCCGUGAAAACCUGGGGCUUAACUCUGGGCUUGCGGUCGAUACGGGCAUCACUGGAGUUCGGCAGGGGAGACUGGAAUUCCUGGUGUAGCGGUGAAAUGCGCAGAUAUCAGGAGGAACACCGGUGGCGAAGGCGGGUCUCUGGGCCGAUACUGACGCUGAGGCACGAAGGCCAGGGGAGCAAACGGG
This 254-nucleotide ribosomal RNA is filed under the name uncultured bacterium. RNAcentral's name for it is "partial 16S ribosomal RNA". It matches the Rfam family "Bacterial small subunit ribosomal RNA", at positions 524 to 776 of the family's 1533-position model. The record is from RNAcentral.